AUUGAACGCUGGCGGCAUGCCUUACACAUGCAAGUCGAACGGUAACGGGCCUUCGGGUGCCGCCGAGUGGCGAACGGGUGAGUAAUACAUCGGAACGUGCCCGAUCGUGGGGGAUAACGAGGCGAAAGCUUUGCUAAUACCGCAUACGAUCUACGGAUGAAAGCAGGGGACCGCAAGGCCUUGCGCGGACGGAGCGGCCGAUGGCAGAUUAGGUAGUUGGUGGGAUAAAAGCUUACCAAGCCGACGAUCUGUAGCUGGUCUGAGAGGAUGAUCAGCCACACUAGGACUGAGACACGGCCCAGACUCCUACGGGAGGAAGCAGUGGGGAAUUUUGGACAAUGGGCGCAAGCCUGAUCCAGCCAUGCCGCGUGCAGGAUGAAGGCCUUCGGGUUGUAAACUGCUUUUGUACGGAACGAAAAGCCUUCUUUUAAUACAGGAGGGUCAUGACGGUACCGUAAGAAUAAGCACCGGCUAACUACGUG
RNAcentral lists this ribosomal RNA (482 nucleotides) under uncultured bacterium. RNAcentral's name for it is "partial 16S ribosomal RNA". It matches the Rfam family "Bacterial small subunit ribosomal RNA", at positions 30 to 507 of the family's 1533-position model. The record is from RNAcentral.